UAAGCAUAUCAAUAAGCGGAGGAAAAGAAACCAACAGGGAUUGCCCUAGUAACGGCGAGUGAAGCGGCAACAGCUCAAAUUUGAAAUCUGGCUCUCGGGCCCGAGUUGUAAUUUGUAGAGGAUGCUUUUGAUGCGGUGCCUUCCGAGUUCCCUGGAACGGGACGCCAUAGAGGGUGAGAGCCCCGUCUGGUUGGAUGCCAAAUCUCUGUAAAGCUCCUUCAACGAGUCGAGUAGUUUGGGAAUGCUGCUCUAAAUGGGAGGUAUAUGUCUUCUAAAGCUAAAUACCGGCCAGAGACCGAUAGCGCACAAGUAGAGUGAUCGAAAGAUGAAAAGCACUUUGAAAAGAGAGUUAAAAAGUACGUGAAAUUGUUGAAAGGGAAGCGUUUAUGACCAGACUUGGACUUGGUUAAUCAUCUGGGGUUCUCCCCAGUGCACUUUUCCAGUUCAGGCCAGCAUCAGUUUUCCCCGGGGGAUAAAGGCGGCGGGAAUGUGGCUCUCUUCGGGGAGUGUUAUAGCCCGCCGUGUAAUACCCUGGGGGGGACUGAGGUUCGCGCAUCUGCAAGGAUGCUGGCGUAAUGGUCAUCAACGACCCGUCUUGAAACACGGACCAAGGAGUCGUCUUCGUAUGCGAGUGUUCGGGUGUCAAACCCCUACGCGUAAUGAAAGUGAACGCAGGUGAGAGCUUCGGCGCAUCAUCGACCGAUCCUGAUGUUCUCGGAUGGAUUUGAGUAAGAGCAUACGGGGCCGGACCCGAAAGAAGGUGAACUAUGCCUGUAUAGGGUGAAGCCAGAGGAAACUCUGGUGGAGGCUCGCAGCGGUUCUGACGUGCAAAUCGAUCGUCAAAUAUGGGCAUGGGGGCGAAAGACUAAUCGAACCUUCUAGUAGCUGGUUUCCGCC
RNAcentral lists this ribosomal RNA (897 nucleotides) under Fusarium redolens f. sp. dianthi. RNAcentral describes it as "LSU rRNA". It matches the Rfam family "Eukaryotic large subunit ribosomal RNA", at positions 35 to 962 of the family's 3401-position model. Lineage: Eukaryota; Fungi; Ascomycota; Sordariomycetes; Hypocreales; Nectriaceae. The record is from RNAcentral.